CCUACGGGCGGCAGCAGUGGGGGAUAUUGGACAAUGGGGGAAACCCUGAUCCAGCGACGCCGCGUGCGUGAAGAAGUAUUUCGGUAUGUAAAGCUCUAUCAGCAGGGAAGAAAGAUAUGACGGUACCUGAGUAAGAAGCCCCGGCUAACUACGUGCCAGCAGCCGCGGUAAUACGUAGGGGGCAAGCGUUAUCCGGAUUUACUGGGUGUAAAGGGUGCGUAGACGGUAAGGCAAGUCUGCAGUGAAAGGCGGGGGCCCAACCCCCGGACUGCUCUGGAAACUGUGUAACUGGAGUGCAGGUGAGGUAGGCGGAAUGUGUGGUGUAGCGGUGAAAUGCGUAGAUAUCAGGAGGAACACCGGUGGCGAAGGCAGCCUGCGGAACUGUAACUGACGUUGAGGCUCGAAAGCGUGGGGAGCAAACAGGAUUAGAUACCCUUGUAGUC
This 443-nucleotide ribosomal RNA is filed under the name uncultured bacterium. RNAcentral's name for it is "partial 16S ribosomal RNA". It matches the Rfam family "Bacterial small subunit ribosomal RNA", at positions 338 to 795 of the family's 1533-position model. The record is from RNAcentral.